RNAcentral lists this ribosomal RNA (699 nucleotides) under uncultured bacterium. RNAcentral's name for it is "bacterial SSU rRNA". It matches the Rfam family "Bacterial small subunit ribosomal RNA", at positions 8 to 684 of the family's 1533-position model. The record is from RNAcentral.
AGAGUUUGAUCCUGGCUCAGAACGAACGCUGGCGGCGUGCUUAAGACAUGCAAGUCGAACGGUAAGGCACCUUCGGGUGUACACGAGUGGCGCACGGGUGAGUAACGCGUGGGUAAUCUGCCUUCGGGUUUGGGACAACUCUGGGAAACUAGAGCUAAUACCGAAUAAGACCACGAGGUUUUCGGACUUCGCGGGAAAAGGUGGCCUCUUCUUGAAAGCUAUCGCCUGUAGAUGAGCCCGCGUCCCAUUAGUUUGUUGGUGAGGUAAAAGCUCACCAAGGCAUCGAUGGGUAACUGGUCUGAGAGGAUGAUCAGUCACACUGGAACUGAGACACGGUCCAGACUCCUACGGGAGGCAGCAGUCGGGAAUCUUGCACAAUGGGCGAAAGCCUGAUGCAGCAACGCCGCGUGAGGGAUGAAGGCCCUCGGGUCGUAAACCUCUGUCGGGAGGGAAGAACGGUAUCCGGGUUAAUAUCCCGGGUGUUUGACGGUACCUCCAAAGGAAGCACCGGCUAACUCUGUGCCAGCAGCCGCGGUAAUACAGAGGGUGCAAGCGUUGUUCGGAAUUAUUGGGCGUAAAGCGCAUGUAGGCGGCUUGGUAAGUCGGAUGUGAAAGCCCGGGGCUCAACCCCGGAAUUGCAUUCGAAACUGCCUCGCUAGAGUCUCGGAGAGGAAGGCGGAAUUCCCGGUGUAGAGGUGA